Molecule: transfer RNA, 86 nt
Filed under: Alcaligenes endophyticus
Lineage: Bacteria; Pseudomonadati; Pseudomonadota; Betaproteobacteria; Burkholderiales; Alcaligenaceae
Description: tRNA-Leu
Rfam family: tRNA
About the family: Transfer RNA (tRNA) molecules are approximately 80 nucleotides in length. Their secondary structure includes four short double-helical elements and three loops (D, anti-codon, and T loops).
Source: RNAcentral
GCAUCCAUGGCGGAAUAGGUAGACGCAAGGGACUUAAAAUCCCUCGGGCAUUGCCCGUGCCGGUUCGAUUCCGGCUGGAUGCACCA